This is a long non-coding RNA of Misgurnus anguillicaudatus (oriental weatherfish), 304 nucleotides long. RefSeq lists it as uncharacterized. The record is from RefSeq and is a predicted model, not a curated record. Lineage: Eukaryota; Metazoa; Chordata; Actinopteri; Cypriniformes; Cobitidae.
AUAAAUAUGUCUGUUUCAUGGGAAUGGAACCCAUGACCUGAGCUAAGUGACAGUGAUAGUAGCCUGUCCACCCCAUCUUCUGUUGGUGACUGAUGUGAGCAGAGAUGAGCAUCAGCUAAUGCUACUUCUUUGUGCUGUUCUUAAGUAGCGAACGACCUGGCUUGAUCACAUCUGCACUCCUGAAAUGAUGAUAACAGACUAUCAGGGUUGAAGGUAAAGCACUAUUUGGCAGUUCGCAGAAAUUGGGAGUUGAGGUCUGACUGUUAAAGGUCACAUUCUUCCUGAUGCCGUUUUUCAAACUUUG